UCAUACUUUAGCAGCACGUAAAUAUUGGUGUUAAGACUGUAAAUAUCUCCAGUAUUAACUGUGCUGCUGAAGUAAGGCUAGUCACUUCUGCACGCGAGUCAUGGAACAGGACAUUGCAUGUGUUUCCUAUGCCUUUUUGUUGCUAUAAUUUAUAUUUUCUUUGUAUAUGAACACUUUCUUAGCUUUUUUUUUGUAUUUUCAUUUAUUCAGAAACUGUAUUUAGAGCUUCAUAGUAUCUGAUGGUAAAUAUAGAAUAGAUAUAAAUAUAAUUUUGCUUUGGUUUAUGUGAAAACUGAACUUUUUAAAGGAGCCAUCUCAAGCUACACCUGUCUAACAAUGCUUUGGUAAGUGUGUUUGUUUAUAUAUUUAAAAACUAUAAAAAUUAUUACUUUAAUUGUCAGCACGUUUCUUUAUUAAAACUCUUAAAAUUGUGUUCAUUUUUACAACCUUUUCUAAAUUAGUGGAACUGAGAAGUUUUUAGUCAUGAUUUUAGCAAAGAGAACUCAUAAAAAAGAAGUGCCUUCCAAUUUUUUAAACAAAACUUAUUAACCACUUCAUUUCUUAAACGACUGGGCUAGAUACAGGUAACAGUUCUAUGGUUAGAAGUUUAAACUGUAUGUCUGACUGUGAAUUUACUAAUUUUUUUCUCAUCUUCCACUAAGAUUUUUCUCUUGCAGGAGAAUCUUUCAUUGAGAUGAUUGAAAUUGCUGCAGUGAGAAUGGAAAUUACUUGGGCUCCUUUCCUUUUAAAAGCUGCAUGCAAGAACUGUGUGCUGAGAAGAGCCUGGCUAUGUCUUCUUUACUCUCCCGUACCCCCACCAGCAGGCAUUUAGAACCAUUGCUGAGAUCACACAAACACAAGCCUUUUCUUCUCCAGGCUGGAGUCUCAGAUCACUCAGCCUUUCUUCAUGUGAAAGAUUCUUCAGUUCUGUCAUCGUUUCUGUGGAAGUAAAUAAAAUGCUUCCUCUAAUAAGGGAAAUUAGAAUUCAAAGGAGGAAACAUUUUUUUGAGGGCGGGGGGAAAGCACAAGCUAAUAACUGUAAAAAGAACAAGAAGGUCACAAAAUGAAACAUUAAGAAGUUAGGUAACUCCAGCUCUAAGAUUCUGCAAUCUUCAUUUGCCCCCUUGUGUCAGUAUACUAUGAAGCAAUCUUCAUGAUCACACAGAAUGUUUAAUCUAUUGAUAGGUUCAGCCUGUUGGGGUGCUGGGCCAGGGAAGAUGUUUGUGGACUGUGCAAGAAGAAACCUGAUGUUGCUAUAAGUGCUGCUAAUAAGAAAUUUGUAAAAAAUUCUGUAGGCAGUGGAACAAAUGGCUGCAAGUACAGAAAACCAUGUAUGUCUUCAUGGUUAUGCCAAGUAAGAAUUCCUAAGAAUUGGAUGUGAUGUUUAUUUUUCUGCCUUUAUUCUCAUGUGAUGCUGGACAGGUAACCAGGCCCUUAGUUCUGUAGUGUGUAUAUUGUGCUUUACUUUAGAGUUGUCUGAUUUAAGACUCAUGUCUGAAAGAAACAUUGUGCUUCACAUUGGUAGCUGAGCUUCUUAGAAGUUGUCAUUUGAAUUAAAAUACUCUGUAAAGUUA
Sturnus vulgaris (Common starling) is the source of this 1574-nucleotide long non-coding RNA. RefSeq lists it as uncharacterized. Lineage: Eukaryota; Metazoa; Chordata; Aves; Passeriformes; Sturnidae. The record is from RefSeq and is a predicted model, not a curated record.